RNAcentral lists this long non-coding RNA (17385 nucleotides) under Homo sapiens (human). Its description in RNAcentral is "HSALNT0321071". The stretch from base 12357 to 12504 matches the Rfam family "Metazoan signal recognition particle RNA". Lineage: Eukaryota; Metazoa; Chordata; Mammalia; Primates; Hominidae. The record is from RNAcentral.
AUUCUACUUGGAGAGCUUCACCGUGACACACGAGUGUUCCUUCCCACCCCAGACCUUUCUCGCUUCCCCUGGCGCAAACACCGGCAACUCUCCGGCGCGCUGGAUUAACAGACGCUCGCCCCUCUCAACUCCCCUAAGCGAGGUCGAAGCUCCUCCGCGCGUGCCGCGGCACCACUCCCGCCUAACCCACCCUCCGGCAACACUCGCCCACCAGCUCCCCAGUCCACCGGUCUAAGGAAGACGUGCGCGCGCCCCGCACCCGAGCCCCGGAGCUGGGGUUCUGCAGGGAGGGAAAGGCUGCUCCAGGGCUCCCUCCUCCAUCUCACUCCAGGCCGGCUCGCCGCCCACCCUGCCUGCGGAUCCCAGUACUCGCUGGGAGCCGGCCCUGCGCCUUCCUAUCAUGAAGACACCAUCCUCGCAUACCCAGCCCAGAACCCCAGCUACCCUCCACCCUGUAGACACCUCGCGGUUCCGCAGGAGGCGCCACGCCGCCCCUCCCCCACACCGCUCCCCCAGUUCUCGGGCCCCCACCAGAAAGUGUGCGCUACACGCCGCCUCGGCCAUCCUCCGGGACGUCCCCACUUGUCCGCGGGAGGUCAGGUCCAACAUGAAGGGGAAGGGGCGGCAAGGGGUACAGUGCGCGCCGGGAACGCCGUCCCGCGGAGUCCCCCAGUCAGAAGGAAGACGGAGCGCGGGGACCCGUGGGGGUGGGGGCCAAAGGCAAUACUCACCGGUUCGACAGUCGCCAUCUUAGAUCGAUCUGAUCGCACAACCGCUCCAGAAGGGGGGGUAAGAGGAAAAAAAUGAGAUUCAAACCGGAUUGGCCAGCUUCUGGCCACGUGACGGAUAUGUCCGUUUGGCCCUGGCGGCACCUGCGCAAGACUGCGGCUGCGUGAGUAACGAGAGGCUUCUGGGAAGUGGAGUCUCUCCCCCACCUUUUUUUUUUUUUUUUUUUUAAGGUAAAGAAAUUUUUUUUAAAAAGGACUGGUCACGUGGCCGAUGGGUAGGGUGCGCGGUUCUCAACGCGGCGGACACUCGCUUGCUGGAGGGUGGUUUCAGUCCUCUGCUCUUCCGCCUGGAUAGCUGCGGUCACACUUACUGCCAGGCAAGCCUACUGUGCCCUUUGUCGCCCUGUCCUCCCAUCUUCCCCGGAAGGUUGGGAACUGCAGGCUCAGCACACACAAUAAGGCUUCAUUUGCUUAGUUGAGGUCCCAGGACAAGUUGCCUGUGUGUUUAUUUAGUUUUCUUUUGAUCUCCCACCAUUUUCUCUUAGUUUCAAAAAGAGGCGGCGAUGCAGAGUCGUUUAGGCAAUCAACCCUCCCACGUCCCCUGGCUCAGCUAAUGCUGGUGGUCAUUCGUUGCCAUUUCUGCGAAAGGGGACGGACGGAACCGCCCGCAGUACCCGCUUGCCACCGGCUGGACGAGGGGGAGGGACGACAGCUUUUACUGUCCCAAAUCCUGAGAUUAAGACCUCAGGGCUAAAUCUUGCGUGGCGGUAAAAAUUAUUUGGAAGUUCUGUGCAACCGUUCCAAUAUUCCGCUUUUACGUGCACGGAAAUAGCCUAAGUCCAGAUGCCAGCCAGGGAAGCCACUCCGGGCCCCGCUGACUAAGCCCUGGACUGAUGGUCUGGAGUCUUUAGGCCGGGUCAACUAUGACUCUUGACGUUGACUCAUUCUCCUUAGGCGAGUGACUUAAUCGCUCGGCGUCUCAGCUUUUUUAUUUAUGAACCAAAGGUGAUGAUACACUUACCUCACAAGGGUGUGCUUCGUAAUGACUGUAACCGGCUUUGAAAAUGCAUCGGACUCUAGAAAUGAUUCAUAAUAAGCAACUGCGUGCCUUCCUAAAGAUCAAGUGCUUCUGCUUUUUUUUUUUAGCAAAGUUUAAAUUUUUUUCUGUUUACUUUGUUUGAUUAUGAUGUACACCAGUGUAGUUUUAAAUGUUCAGGACCAUUUUUUUUCCUUUACAACUGCAGCUGCCCUCAAUAGAGGCUUUAAUGUUCAUGAAAUUAUUGUUAUGCUCACAACAAUCACUGGCAAUCAGAAAUUUGUCCCCACACUGGCAUCCUACAUUUCCUUUCCCUCUAAGAUACUGUGCUGUCAUUUCUCAAGACCGUGUUUUUUGCACAGUUUGGCUACUAAUAACAACAAAUAGAGAUGAAGAAAUCUAGUAGACUCCUAAGGUUCUAAUGAAGAAGACACUGUCUCAUUACUAUUUCCCAUGCUUUUAAAUAAUGUUGACACCAGGAAAAGGAGUGUAUGCAGGCUGCCUGUGCCUGUCUGCUUAUAGUGUUAAUGAGGUCCAGAGCUGUGUCAUACCUAUUAUUGAGUACAUAAUGGAUGCUUGAGUUGACUAACACAUAAUUGAGGCUGUAUGAGAACUCAAAGCCAUUGCCUGUUCAUAUGUUUUGGUUUACCUGAAUAUCAGAAGUGAUUAAUGAAAGCUUUUGUCUAGUGGGCUUAGCUCUACUAGGUUUUAAAGUAGAUAGAAUUAACAGGCCAGGCGCAGUGGCCCACGCCUGUAAUCACAGCCCUUUGGGAGGCCAAGGCGGGCGGAUCACCUGAGGUCAGGAGUUCGAGACCAGCCUGACCAACAUGGUGAAACCCUGUCUCUACUAAAAAUACAAAAAUUAGCCAGGCAUAGUGGCACCUGCCUGUAGUCUCAGCUACUCAGGAGGCUGAGGCAGGAGAAUCACUUGAACCUGGGAGGUGGAGGUUGCAGUGAGCCAAGAUCCCGCCACUGCACUCCAGUCUGGGCGACACAGUGAGACUCCAUUUCCAAAAAAAAAAAAAAAAUGAUAAUAAACGGAUAAGUGGAUUUCUACUUACAGAGACUAUCUACUGUUACUUAGACUAUCCAAAAUAAUUCUGUUGACCGCGUUGUUAUUUUCUGCUGGUUAGAAGUGGUGUCAGGUUACCUUCUUUGAAGAGAAAAAGACAGCAUAGAUGUCCUAUUUUCCCCUUCCCCACCCUUCCCCACCCUUCCUCUCCCUUCCCUACCCUUCCCCUCCCUUCCCUUCCCUUCUCUUCCCCUCCCCUCCCCUGUCCUCCCCUCCCCUCCCUCCCCUCCCCUCCCAUUCUCUCUCUCUCUCUCUCUUCCUUCCUUCCUUCCUUCCUUCCUUCCUUCCUUCCUUUCUUUUUGUCUUUUCAGGGUGUUGCUCUGUUACCCAGGCUGGAGUGCAGUGGCAUGAUUAUGGCUCACUGCAGCCUUGACCUUCUGGGUUCAAGGGGUCCUCCCACCUUAGCUUCCCAAGUAGCUAGGACUACAGGCAUGGGCCACCAUGCCUAGCUAAUUUUUUUAUAUUUUGCAGAGACAGGAGCGUCUAGCUAUGUUCCCCAGGCUGGUCUCAAACUCCUGGGCUCAAGCGGUCCCCCUACCUGGGCCUCCCAAAGUGCUGAGAUUGCAGGCAUGAGCCACCAUUCCUGGCCAGAUGUCCUAUUUUCAUGAAGCUGUUAUAUAACAGCAAAAAAUCAAUGAGAUUGGCAAGAAAAUACCUAUAGGACUGAAAGCCAGUGAUGUUCUUAAAACUUUUUUUAAACAACAGUUUCCAUUUUUAUUAAAUUUUCUGUUAAUCAAAAAACUCGGGCCGGGCACGGUGGCUCAUGCCUGUAAUCCCAGCACUUUGGGAGGCCAAGACGGGCGGAUCACGAGGUCAGGAGAUCGAGACCAUCCUGGCUAACACGGUGAAACCCCGUCUCUACUAAAAAUACAAAAAUUAGCUGGGCAUGGUGGCAGGCGCCUGUAGUCCCAGCUACGCGGCAGGCUGAGGCAGGAGAAAGGAGUGAACCCAGGAGGUGGAGCUUGCAGUGAGCGGACAUCGCGCCACUGCACUCCCUCAGUCUCAAAAAAAAAAAAAAAAAAAAAACUCCCUCUUGUCAACCAAGACUCAUACUUUUACAAUACUUAUGGAUGCUCUAUUCUUUAUGGUUUAGUUUCUUUCCAUUUUUUACAUAGUUUUCAACAAUUUUUCUUUAUAAUUUUCAAGCACAGAGUUUCAGGAAAAUCUCCAUUUUUGUAUAUACUUUGUUGUGUGUGUUUUAUGACCAUUAAUGUGUCUUUGCCUAUUUGAGAUUCUACCAUUUCAAAGAUUUAACGAUUAGGUUUUUAUGUAUGUGUGUAUGUGGUUGUUUUGUUUUGUUUUUGCCAAUCCUAAAUAUAUAGAGCUGAAAUUUUAUGUUUUAUUUCUCUAUUUAUUCUCUAUUAUUCUUUAUUGCUCUUCAAAGGACUUGUAAUUCCAAGUUCAUUUACAGAACUGACCAGAAACCAUCCAACAAGUACUAAGUUAGUAAUGGGAACUAUGUAACCAGUGGAGGAUAUUUAAAGGACACAGGAAGUACAGGCACUUCCUUCCCCGACUGUAAAAUCUGGUUGGCGUACUAAGUCAUAGAAAUAUAAAUAGUUCAGUACCCAUAUAAAGAGGUGUGACUAAGAACCAAGAGGAUGCAGUUAACAAGCACCAUAACCAGCACACAUUCACAUAAUGAAUGAGCGAAUCAUAUACUUCCUUCCCUCAUUUCAUCCAGGCCUCUGUUCCAAUGUGAUCUCCUGAAGGAAGGCUUCCUUGACCACCCUAUCUAAAUUACUGUUUCCAUUACUCUUUAUCCCCUCACUCUGCUUUGGUUUUCUUUAGGCCACUUCAUAACCCUAACUCUAAACUUGCUGUUAAACAUUAUUUAAUUAGUUGUUGAUUGACCCUACUACUAAAAUAUUAGCUCAUUGAUGAUUUGUAGAUAGAUUGCUAUCAAAUAUUUGGGGAAAACUCAAAUGUAAUUUUUUUUUCCCGAGAUGCAGUCUCACUCUGUUGCCCAGAUCUUGGCUCACUGCAACCUCUGCUUCCUGGGUUCAAGCGAUCCUCCUGCCUCAGCCUCCCAAAUAGCUGGGACUACAGGUGCGUGCCACCACACCUGGCUAACUUUUGUAUUUUUAGUAGAGAUGGCCAGCCUGGUCUCGAACUCCUGACUUCGUGAUCUGCCCGCCUCGGCCUGCCAAAGUGCUGGGAUUACAGGCCUGAGCCACUGUGAACCCUUAUUUUAAUUUUACAGUUUGAGAGACACCAAUUCCCAUUACCUACUCAGGACAUUGCUUAAAAACAUGGGAUGUACGCAAACAUGACCAAGGAAUUUUGAAUAUUAAAAGAUUGGAGCAGAAUUGGAAUUUAAAAAAUUAUUUUAUUAUUCUAGUUAGUUUUUUGUUUACUCUCUCCUUGGUGAUUUUUAUGAGACUGAGGCACUACCUACUGGCUAAAAAGGCACCUUGAUUUUUAAAAGAAAAUCAAGAAAAAGAAAAAGAAAAAAAUUUUUUAAGGGAAACCUCUUCUGCUAUUCUAAUAUAUCCGUGUGCCAACAUUUUAUGCUUUUACAAUUAUAGGGUGCAAAGAGUUUUUGUUUGUUUGUUUAGAGACAGGGUAUUCCUAUACUACUAGGCUGGAGUGCAGUGGCACAAUCCUGGCUUACUGCAGCCUCUAACUCUGGGGCUCAAGCGAUCCUCCCACCUCAGCCUCCUGAACGAUGGCUAAGACUACAAACAUGUGCCACCAUGCCCAGCUCAUUUUUUUAUUUUUUGUAGAGAAAAGAUCUUGUUAUGUUGCCCAGGCUAGUCUCGAACUCCUGGGCUCAAGUGAUCCUCUGGCUUUGGCCUCCUAAAACUCUGAGAUUAUAUGUAUGAGUCACCCCCAGCCUGCACAAACAAUUUUGAAUUCUACAUUUUUUUCCACAUGACAUCUUAUUGCAAACAUUUUGGACAUUGCCUAUAGAUGGGAUAACAGUUUUUAAACUUUUUUUUUUUGGAAAAAUUUUAAACUUACAGAAUACUUGUAAUAGUAACUCUUCUUCUAAGCCCUUCUAAAUUCACCAAUUAUUAAUUUGUUGCAUUGCCUCUCUUAAUCUCAUUACUUCUGAACCAUUUGAGAGGAAGUUGCAGGCAUGAUGAUCCUUUACCUCUAAAUACUUCAGCAUGUUCCUCCUAUGAAUAAAGACGUUUUCUUACAGCACCGUAAUACAAAUAAUGAAAUCAUGAAAUAUAAUAGUAGUUUUAUCUAAAAUAAAAACCAUAAAAUCAAUAUUCGUAUUUUGCCAGUUUCUUCACUCAUUUUGACAGAAAUACUACAAAAAUAAUAUUGUAUUCUUCCUGGUGCAUCACAUCAUCGGUAACAUUAGUGGCUUCAGAAUAUUCUGCUGAGUGGAUAUAUCACAGUUCCCUUAAUCAGUUCCAAAUGGUUACAUAUUCAGGUAAUUUCCAGUCUUAUAUUAUUAUAAUGUUCUAAUGCAUACAUUUAUGAGAAAUGUGUUUUCCUAUUUAGAUGAUUUCCUCAGGACAAUUUUUCAUCAAUAGAAUUAGUUUAUAGGAUACAUAGUUUUGACUGUUUAUACAUAAUGGAAUUCAUGUUGCUCUCCAAAAGUGUGGUAUCGGCAUGAGAUGUCACAGCCAACUUAUCAGUGUUGGGUGUUAAAGGAAUUAAAAGAAUGUAUCGUUAAUGAUUCUUGUUGCUAGUUUCAAUAUUUACUUAUUCACAGCCUUUACCUUUGUUCCAUUACCUGUUAUUUUGGAAAUGUUGAAAUCUACAAAAAAUUUGAAACAAUACAACAAACACUUAUAAACCCUUCACCUAGAUUCUCUAGUUGUUAAUCUUUGAAUCAAUAAGGAUUGAUAAGGGCUGGGCGUGGUGGCUCACACCUGUAAUCCCAACACUUUGCGAGGCCGAGGAGGGUGUAUCACUUGAGCUCAGGAGUUUUGAGACUAGCCGGCCAACAUGGAGAAACCUCAUCUCUACUAAAAAUGCAAAAAUUAGCCAAGCAUGGUGGCGUGCACCUGUAGUCCCAGCUAUUCAGGAGACUGAGGCAGGAGAAUCACUUAAACCCAGGAGGCGGAGCUUGCAGUGAGCUGAGAUCGUGCCACUGCACUCCAGCCUGGGCGACAGAGUGAGUCUGUCUCAAAACAAACAAACAAAUAAGGACUGAUAAGAAUACUGAUGUAAUUUUGAAAAGUAUGUAGUAGCCAAGGGGCCUGUCACAUAUGGAAGAGUUAUGGAAAUGGUUAAUGGAACAUGGAGUCUCUAGGUGCAAUAUAGAUGGGCAGCCAAGAAGGGUAUUAUUCAAUUUACACUACGAAAAAAAAAUAAAUAAGUAAAAAUUAGGGCCAGGUGAAGUGACUCAUGCCUGUAAUCCCAGCACUUGUGGGAGGCCAAGGCAGGAGGAUUGCCUGAGCCCACCAACCUGGGCAACACCGUAAGCCCCAGCCUCUAAAAAAAAAUAAACAUAAAAAUAAAUGAUGGAUGAUAAGGAGGCCAUAGGCAGUUGUACCAAUAAAACAUCAAAAUCUCCUGCCAAGUUCCUGGACCUGAGCCAAUUUUUAGACCCAAAAUCCAUUGACUGAAGAAGUUAGGUGCGAGGGAGAAAGGAACCGUGGCAAGCAAUGGGGUUAAUGAUUCCCCAGUUCUUCCCCCAAAAUGAUCUAUGGCUGUUUACUUGUGCAACUGUAUGCUUUGUAAAGGGGAACACCCAAGCAGUUCUAAUACUGCCGGACUCAGGUUUGACUUGACAUUGAUACCCAGAGCCUGAAGUACUAUCCUAGCCUUCCUGUUUAAGUGAGGAUAUACGGGGUUCAGGUAAUACAUGAAAAGCAAAUAAAAAUGGAAGGUCCAAAAUUCCUUAAAUGUCUUUUAAGCAACAUUAAUAGGAGACUAUUAUAUACAGUUGACCCUUGAACAACACGUGUUUGAACUUUGUGGGUACAUUUACACAUGGACUUUUUAAAUAUAAAUAUACUGCAAAUAUUUUUGGAGAUUUAGGACAAUUUGAAAAAUCUCACAAACUGCAUAGCCUAGAAAUAUUGAAAAAAUUAAGAAAAAGGUAUGUCACGAAUGCAUAAAAUAUAUGUGUUAAUAGAUAGAGUAUGUUAUUGGUAAGGCUUCUGGUCAACAGUAGGUUAUGAAUAGUUAAGUUUUGGGGGAGUCAAAAGUUAUAUGUGAAUUUUCAGCUGGGCAUCUCAUACCUAUAAUCCCAGCACUGUGGGAGACCAAGGCGGGUGGAUCACUUGAGGCCAGGAGUUCAAGACCAGCCUGGCCAGCAUGGCGAAACCCUGUCUUUACUAAAAAUACAUUAGCUGGGCAUGGUGUCGUGGACCCGUAAUCCCGGCUACUUGGGAGCCUGAGGCACGAGAAUCGCUUGAACCCGGGAGGCGGAGGUUGCAGUGAGCUGAGAUCAUGCCAGUGCACUCCAGCCUGAGCAACAGAGCAAGACACUGUCUCAAAAAAAAAGUGUUUUAACAUUUAAAAAAAUUAAAUAAAAAAGUUAUAUGUGAAUUUUCAACUGCGUGGGGGGCUGAACACCCCUAAUUCACACAUUGUUUAAGGGUCAACUACUGGGAAACCAACAGAUGUGUCUUCUGUAAUGAAAACCACACAGAAUCUGUAGAAUGUAGUGGUCAACGAUUUUGUAGAUUUGAAAUGAAGAGGGAAUAGCUGUUUUACUCUCUGGGAGAAGACUAUCUGUAAGAGACUUCCAGGCUAAUGAAAUUGGUAAGGUACUGGCCAGGCAUGGUGGCUCACGCCUGUAAUCCCAACACUUUGGGAGGCCGAGGCGGGCAGAUCACGAGGUCAAGAGAUCGAGACUGUAAGAUACAAUGAAUUUCUUUGAACUUCUCUUCAAAGGUUUAGCCUGCUAACUUCCUUGUCCUUUGUUCUCAAACUCAGUUUUCCUGUUCCUCCUUGCCCCUAGUUACUGUAAAACAGCCUACCCCCUUCCUGUCAGCUCUAAUCAAUAACUCACAUCUUUUCCCUUGGUUACCUGCAGCCAUUGUUCCCCCGAAACUGCACGUCUCAAACAGUCUCACAUGCUUUACCACUGUACCUCACGUCCCCCUGCCCUUCCAUAUUUAGAAAAAUAUUUGCAAGUAGCCAAUCGGGUCAGCUCAGAUUGUGCGGUCCGACCCCAGCCCAUCGGGGAGGGACAAAGAGGUAGGGAUUGCAUUAAGGAUAUAAAAAAACCCUGAUGUCCUUUAUUCUCUGUGCUCUUGCGAUCUCGAUUGACACAAGUGGCACCCUUCUUCCGAAGUAAAUUGCCCUGCUGAGACAACUUUUGCCUGAGUGCUGGUUUCACUUUGUGGCACCGAGCAUUUAUUUCCAGAACAUUUUUUUAUCCAACAAGACCAUUCUGGCCAACAUGGUGAAACCCUGUUUCUACUAAAAAUACAAAAAUUAGCUGGGCUUGGUGGUGUGCACCUAUAGUCCGAGCUACUUGGGAGGCUGAGGCAGGAGAAUCGCUUGAACCCAGGAGGCGGAGGUUGCAGUAGGCUGAGAUAGCGUCACUGCACUCCAGCCUGGCAACAGAGCGAGACUCGCCUCAAAAGAGAAGGAAGGAAGGAAGGAAGGAAGGAAGGAAAAGAAAUUGGUGAAAUUGGUACUGACAUGAAAUUACAAAGUGCAUUUUAGUCUAAAUAAAUAAGAAAGAAAAAUAAGGUAUCAGAGGAAUCUGAGACAAGAGAAAGUUGGCUGGAGAUAGUUAAAAUAUUUCUAAGGCCCAGUCUCUUGAGAUAGACCUGUAGCCAAUAAUUUACAUAAUAAUAACAAAAAUGACAAGGGAGUGAGUAAACAAGUAGUUCACAGAGCUAAAAGCAAGGCAUGAUGCAAGGUGUGAAUGGAAUUAGUAAGUAAAAUGUGUUGCCUGGGUAUGUAGAAUUUGAUAUUUGUUUUAACAAAUUUAAAAACUGUCAGCUGCUACUUUAAGUGGAGACAGAAUUUCCCUUUAGCACAUUUUUAUUCUGAGAAGAAUCACAGUAGUGGCUGCUUUUAGUUAUGUAAAUGUAUGGGCAAAAGCAUAAUUGCAAACUAGGGCUGCUGGUAGACUGCUCCACUUCUCUAAUUCUCUCUUCAGCAGCCAAGUAGCUUGGUAUUAGGAUAGUCCUCUUGGACUAGUAAGUUUCUAGGCUUUUUAAUUAAUUCAGAGGGAAAUGCGACAACAGAAACUACUUCCCCAAUAAUGAGUGGAAAGUACCAAAAUUAAAUAAAUAUAACUGAGGUGUAAUUUUAGGGAAGAACAAUUGGAUUGUGAUUUCAACCAAGGAAUGUAAAACUAUGUGGUUGCAAUAUAUUCUGCCUGAACUAAAAAAGUGCUUUAGCAGAGGAAAGGAAAUUGGUAGUAGUCUCCCUGUCAUGUUGAAAAGGAAAGUCCAGAAAGAUUUGGCUGUGUGUUGCCUGCACUACUCGGGGCCCUAGAAUACAAAUAUGGUAGCUGACUCAUGGGGUAAGUAUCUCCCUAUGUCAGACUAGGAAAGUUAGUGACACUUAUCAUUAUUGAAUAGGUUAUAAAACUCAAGAACAGGACAGGUGUGGUGGUUCAUGCCUGUAAUCUCAGCACUCUGGCAGGCCAAGGGAGGAAGAUGACUUGAGCCCAGGGGUUUGAUACUAGCCUGGGCAACAUAAUUUUAAAAAAUAAAUUAAUUUUUAACAAUAAAAUAAAUAAAAUACAUAACCUCAAGGACAACCUUAUAAAAUUAAUCCUGAUAAUUGCUCCUAGAUGAAUGCUGAUGAAGGUAAGUGAAUUCUAAAAACAGUACUAAUCUCCCUUCUACCUCACCAAAUAUGUUUCUUUUCCUGAAUUCUUUAUCCUGGUUAAUUAUAAAAUCAUCUUCCAGUCACUCCUUUCCUAAAAUCUUGUCAUCAUCUCUCCAAUGAUGGUCACUCUUUCAUCCUCCACAUCCAGUAAAUCAGCAAGGUUUAGCAAUUAUUAUUAUUAUUAUUUUUCAAGACGGAGUCUCCCUCUGUUGCCCAGGCUGGAGUGCAGUGGCUCAAUCUUGGCUCACUGCAACCUCCGCCUCUUGGGUUAAAGUGGUUAUUGUGCCUCAGCCUCCCUAAUAGCUAGGACUACAGGCGCGCCCCACCAUGCCGGCUAAUUUUUGUAUUUUUAUUAGAGACAGGGUUUCACCAUGUUGCCCAGGAUGGUCUUGAACUCCUGACCUCGAAUGAUCCACCUGCUUCAGCCUCCCAAAGUGCUGGGAUUACAGAUGUGAGCCACCAUGCCUGGCCAUAUUUUUAUGUUCUCAAGUAUUCCCUCUCCUCUUCAUUCUCACUGUCUUAGUGUAGUGGACAUCUAUAUAUCUAUAGUUCAGCUUUCUUUUUGUAAUACUUGCAAUUCUGAUCUUUUGGGGACCUAUUCCUUCUCACUCUAACCAUGUGGUUCUACUGGGACUUGCCUCAUGGUUCCCCUUACACCAUUAUUGGAGGCACAUGACCUGGGUGGAAAAUUAGAAGGAGUCAUAACUGAAAGGGUGAAUGCAGACACUUCACUUUAUACAAGUCAAGGUUAUCGUAGUGGUCAUGGUGGAUGACUUCUCAACAAGAGUCUCUCACAAUGAUUAGUCUAAGUCAGAAGUCACCAUACUGUGGACAUUUAGGGUCAGAUAAUUCUUAGUUGUGGAAGUUGUUUUAUGUAUUGUGAGAUGUUUAGCAGUAUCCCUGGCUUCUAUCCUUUAGAUGCCAGUGCACCCUUUCUCUAAGGUGUGACAACUAAAAAUACUCCAGAUAUUGCCAAGUGACUCCUAGACAGUGAAAUCAUCUCAGGUUGAGAACUACUGGCCUAAACUAUUUGUGGCAAUCCUAUUGCUUAUUUCAUUGGUCUCCAAAAACAGGCCAAUGUAAGGUGUAAAAGUUUUGUCCACUAGAGGGCUUCUGGGAAGGUUUCCACAAUCCUGAGAAAGUCGACUGGAAUUAAGAGCAUUUUCUUGAGAGAAGUUGUUUUUAUGUGAAUACUUAAACUGGCUGCAGUCAACAUGGAGGGGGAAAUGGAGAAAUAAGGAAUGUAAAGUAGGAGAUAGAAUAAAUUUUACUCCUUAACUGUUGAGCCGAUGACUUCUCUGCAUGAGCCUAAAACAAUCUUAUCUCUGUACUACCACUUAUUUUUGAGUAUAUAUGUAUGUACUAAAAAAAAAAAAAAAACAGCUCAAAUGGGAGUGUACUGUACAUGCUUUGUGUUACUUCUUUUUACAUAUUUGUAGGUGAUGCUUUCAUAUAAGUAUAUAGAAAGCUGCCUAAUUCUUUUCAUUGACUGCAAAUUAUUUCAUUUCAUAGAUAAGGAAUAAUUCAUCUAACCAGUAUCUUGGAGUCUUUUAUGUGUGUUUUUUUUUAAAAAAAAAACAAAAACAAAAACAUUUUUUCUAAUGCAAAGAAUGGUUCCAUAACUUUCCAUUAUACACAAGUCAUUGGAAUAGACUUGAGAAGAGGAAUUAUUAAGACGGACGCCAUGGCUCAUGCCUGUAAUCCUGACACUUUAGGAGCCCGAGGAAGUGGAUCACUUGAGCUCAGGAGUUUGAGACCAGCCUGGCCUACGUGGUGAAACCCCGUCUCUACUAAAAACACAAGAAAAUUAGCUGGGCGUGAUGGCACACACCUGUAAUCCCAGCUACUCAGGAGGCUGAGGCAGGAGAAUCACUUGAACCCAGGAGGAGGAGAUUGCAGUGAGCCAAGAUCAUGCCACUGCACUCCAGCCUGGGUGACAGAGUGAGACUCUGUCUCAAAAAAAAAAAAAAAGACAAAUUAUUAGGUGUGCAUGUGUGAUUUUCAUAGAUAUUAUAAAAUAUCCUGGGAAGAGAUUGAAUUAACAUUCUCAUUAUCAACAUAUGGUAGCCUCAUACUCUGAUUAAUAAAUUAUCAAACUUUGAGACGUAGUCUCGCUCUGCCACCCAGGCUGCAGUGCAGUGGCGCGAUUUCGGCUCACUGCAACCUUCACCUCCCGGGUUCAAGCGAUUCUCCUGUCUCAGCCUCCCAAGUAGCUGGGAUUAUAGGCAUGGGCCGCCAUGCCCGGCUAAUUUUUGUAUUUUUAGUAGAGAUGGGGUUUCACUAUGUUGGCCAGGCUGGUUUCCAACUGACCUCAGGCGAUCUGCCUGCCUCAGCCUCCCAAAGUGCUGAGAUUACAGGCUUGAGCCGCUGCACCCAGCCAGUUAUCAAACUUUUUGUGCUUUGGUAAUUUCAUGAAAUACUAUAUGCAAUGUAAUUUCAGUUUAUAUAAUAAAACUUGUCAGAAUGAAAAUGGAAUCAUUUGUGUAAAACCCUGGCAAAUGGAAGGCCUUGAAAGGAGGGUUGUCACGCAUGUAUGCCUAAUAACAAGAACUAUCACAAAAGAUAGCAAAAAACAUGACCUUACACAGAGGCUACUUCAACCUCAUACAAAAAAUACUUCUGUGAAAAAUAAAAAUACUUCUGUGAGCACAUGUGCUGAGCAACUGCCUGUCCAACCUUGGACUGACACCAUCCUCGUUAUUGGUCUCUGUAGGCAAAGAUAAUUGUUUCAAAAUAGUUAUGUAAUCCCCCUCAUUUUUCACUGAAAAACCCUUUUACCUCCCAGAACAUGCUCCCUGUAUUCCCAUUGCAAGGCUCAAUCCCCAAAACUAUCAUUUUCUUUUAUAGAGUCUCUCUCUGCCUGUUAUUUAGGUUGACAUAAUCUGGUGUCAAGAAGUGGGACCAAAGUGAGCUCACCUUGAUGGAUCGGUGACUCCUGGAAUCACAUGAAGUUCCCACAUUGAGCCCCUUUGAGCUCUCCAAUCCUACAGCUCACCUUUUCUGUCAUGGUGAAUCUCCUCUCAGGUUCUUGAACUCCCUCAUUUUGGUGAGUUCUUUUGACUUUCUUUGGGAUUUGUUUUGGAUAAUGGCUGCCUUAAUAAAGGACCUUGUAUCUCUCUUGAGACUAGAAAAUACAUUUUUUCUGACAAAUCCUUUCUGGUACAAAGAUAUUUUAUCUUUCUGGAGAGUAUACACUUCUGAUUUCUAUAAAAUUUACCUCAUGUAUUUUCUGGUGAGUUCUUUUUUUUUUCUUUUUGCAUGCCUUCGCAGCCAUUAUACAAUUCAGUGAGUCCUAGCUGAAAUGUAAAAACACCUGAGAAACUAACCACUAAAUUUGAGGCUUUAAAAAAAAAAGGUAAGAGAGUUUUUUUCUUUUUACCAACUGCUAUAGGGAUGUAACUCAGAUCCAACCAGUGAAUUUAUGUUACUAUAUUUUACAGUCUCAUGAAUACAUAUAAAAGUGAAAGCUAUAAGAUCUUUGUUAACAUAUGUGUUUAUGUAUGUUAUAUGUUGUGUAUACAUGGCAAAAUCUGGCAUAAUUGACCAGAAAUCCCUUAAGGAAGCCUAUUUAGAUUGGCUUAGAGAGAAAUGGGUACUCAUGUAAAAUUAUAUCUAAAACUGUUGAAAUAUAUAGUAAUUAACCCAAAUGCCUUUUUGUUUAUGUGACUUAAGUGAAUCUUUGAUAAAUAAGCUGGUUUUAAAUUUAUCAGUAAAAUAGAAAUGUUUUUAGAAUUGUCAGCAUACAUUCUUGCCUGCACUUAUUGUUCAGACAAUUUUUAUAUUUGUUCUAGCUGUUUUAAAGUGUCAGGAUUCGACACACAGGUCAUAAAACUAUAAUUCCAGCCUUAAAAGCAAAAUGAUCUUUGAUGGUUAAUACUGAGUGCCAAUUUGAUUGGAUUGAAGGAUACAAAGUAUUGAUCCUGGGUGUGUCUGUGAGGGUGUUGCCAAAAGAGGUUAACAUUUGAGUCAGUGGGCUUAGGGAAGGCAGAUCCACCCUUAAUCUGCUGGGCACCAUCUAAUCAGCUGCAGCUAAUAUAAAGCAGGCAGAAAAACAUGAAAAGGAGAGACUGGCCUAGCUUCCCAGCCUACGUCUUUCUCUCAUGCUGGAUGCUUCUUGUCCUUGAACAUUGGACUCCAGGUUCUUCAGUUUUGAGACCUGGACUGGGUUUCCUUGCUCCUCAAGUUUGCAGACAGCCUAUUGUUGGACCUUGUGAUCAUGUAAGUUAAUACUUAAUAAACUCCCCUAUAUAUCUAUAAACAUAUAUAUAUAUGUAUGUAUGUUACGUAUGUAUGUAUGUAUGUAUGUAUCCUAUUACUCUGUCCCUCUAGGGAACCCUGACUGAUACAGUUUAUGUCACUUUUUUUUUUUUUGAGAUGGAGUUUUGCUCUUGUCCAGGCUGGAGUGCAAUGGCACGAUCUCUGCUCACUGCAACCUUUGUCUCCCAGGUUCAAGUGAUUCUCCUGCCUCAGCUUCCUGAGUAACUGGGAUUACAGGCAAGCGCCACCAUGCCUGGCUAAUUUUGUAUUUUUAGUAGAGACAGGGUUUCACCAUGUUGAUCGGACUGGUCUCGAACUCCCAACCUCAGGUAAUCUUCCCACCUCAGCCUCCCAAAGUGCUGGGAUUACAGGCAUGAGCCACCACACCCGGCCUACUUUUUUUUUUUUUUAAGGCAGGAUCUUGCUCUGUUUCCCAGUCUGGAGUGCAGUGACACGAUCAUGACUCACUGCAGCCUCAACCUCUCAGACUCAAGCAAUCCUCUCACCUCAGCCUCCCAAAUAGAUGGGACUUUUUUUUUCUUUUUAAUUUUUUUAUAGAGAUAGGGUUUCACUAUGUUGCCCAGGCUACUCUCAACCUCCUGGGCUCAAGUGAUCCUCCCACCUUAGCCUCCCAAAGUGUCAGGAUUACAGGCAUGAACCAUCCUGCCCAGCCUAUUUUUGUGCAACUUUUUGAUGAAUAAGACUAGUUUAAUAUUGUUACUUUAGUGAAAACAGCUGUAUCUUCUAAGUAAUCAAUAAAAUAUCCAUGUACUUUAAGGUUCUUAAUGUGAACAUCUAACAUUCACAUGCUGUAAAAAUGGCUAACAGAAAGGUAACUUGAAAUAAUGAUUAGCUCUGUGUAAUAUCUGUUUUCAUAAGUAAUCUAGGUAUAAUGGUUAAAAAAUAAAUUAGGUAAAUGAAAAGGGAAUAAGUAUGUAUAAAUGAACUUUUCAUAUGAUUUGAGAUCUUAAAGUUAUGUUAAAUAAGUAAUAGUUAUUCAUUAAAUGUCUGGGUCAUAGCCAAAUAAGAUAAAAUAUGAAAACAUUAAUUACUGAACAUAGAUUCAAAUUAAUUUACUUUUGGCUUUUUUUUUUUCUUUUUUGAGACAAAGUUUCACUCUUGUCCCCCAGGCUGGAGUGCAAUGGCACAAUCUCGGCUCACUGCAACCUCCCCCUUACAGGUUCAAGCAAUUCUGCCUCAGCCUCCCAAGAAGCUGGGAUUACAGGCGCCUGCCACCACACCCAGCUAAUUUUUGUAUUUUUAGUAGACAGGGUUUCACCAUGUUGGCCAGGCUGGUCUCGAACUCCUGACCUCAGGUGAUCUGCCCGCCUUGGCCUCCCAAAGUGCUGAGAUUACAGGCAUGAGCACCAUGCCCGGCCUUCUUUUUUUUUUUUUUAGGCAGGGUCUCACUCUCACCCAGGCUGGAAUGCAUGAUCACAGCUCACUGCAACCUCUACCUCCCAGGCUUGAGCAGAUCCUCCCAGCUUAGCCUCCCCAGUAGCUAGGUCUACAGGUGUGAACCACCAUGCCCAGCUAAUUUUUUGAUUUUUUUUUUUUUUUUUUUUUUUUUUGAGCCAGAGUUGCGCUCUUGUUACCUGGGCUGGAGUGUAAUGGCGCAAUCUCAGCUAACUGCAUUCUUCGCCUCCCAGGUUCAAGCGAUUCUCCUGCCUCAGCCUCCCGAGAUUCUCCUGCCUCAGCCUCCCGAGUAGCUGGAAUUACAGGCAUGCGCCACCAUGCCCAGCCUUUGAUUUUUUUUUUUUAAGAGAUGGGGUCUCUGUAUGUUGCCCAGGCUUGUCUUGAACUCCUGGGCUCAAGCGGUCCUCUCACCUCAGCCUCCCCAAGUGCUAGGAUUACAGGCAGGAGACACCACACCUGGCCUACUUUUGGCUUCUUAAGUUUUAAAGAAAGAGAAAAGCUAUUUGGGCUUAUUAAUAAAUACGUUCUGUUUCACAUUGGAAAAUUGUUCUAUGAGAAAGCACAUGUUUCUAGAGAUUAUGAAAUACAUAUUCAUAGGAGGUUGAUGUAUGUCAGAUAGUUCAGAGUUUGCUUGCUUCCUGGGCUUUCACUAGAAAUUAGGGUUACUGAGAGUUAAAAAUUCUAAUUAAUGUAUGUGAUUCUGCAUGCAAGAUAUAUAAGAAAUUGUGUUUUUGAUGAGAAAAACUUUGAAGAUGAGAAUUUUUUUAAAGAAAAGAAUAGUUUUGUCUAAAUUCAGAGGUUAUUUAAGGUUAUUUUAAAAGUAAAUUUAGAAAGAAGAUAGCAGCAAGACAGAAAGGAACCAGUAGGAAGAAGAGAGGCUUGCAUAGAAAGUUAUAGGUAUGAAGAUGUAUUUUUGGAAAGGGAGGUUAAAAAGAGAAGAGGUUUUUUUUUUUGGUAUGAGAGAGAAUCUCAAGUGGUCAAAAUCAAAAGAAAAAAAGUAAAUUGUGUCCUAAAGUAAAAUGACUGGUUGUUAAAGAAAGAGCAACUAUAAAUAGGACAAAACCAAAAGUCUGGGCAGGUCACAGACAGUCUGAGCUAGUUGUAAAAGGUUUGUGAAAGAUGACUCUUACGAAAGAAAUUUUGUGUGUGAUAAAGUUGGCUAAAAU